UUUUUUUAAAAAUAUAAUACAUCAAAAAUACUGAAAAUAUUAAAAUAAAUUAUUCUCAACAAAUUGAAAAUAAAAUUUAAAAAAUAUGUAUACUUAAAUAACAUUAAGAUAGGUGAAAUGAUAGCAAAAUAGUAAAAAAAAAAACAACAAGAAGAAGAAAAUAGAAAAAAGAGAGUAAAAAACAGUAAAAAAAAGUGCAGUUUUUUUUUACAUAUUCGGGUCAGGCCGGCCCCAGGUUGAAAAGCCUUAUCCGAGUCUCACGGGUCUUUUUUUUUUGCCCAAACUCAUUUUCUGAGCCUAUAUUUUUAUCCAAAC
This 315-nucleotide long non-coding RNA is filed under the name Gossypium raimondii (Peruvian cotton). RNAcentral describes it as "long non-coding RNA (GRAI_LNC009606)". The record is from RNAcentral. Lineage: Eukaryota; Viridiplantae; Streptophyta; Magnoliopsida; Malvales; Malvaceae.